CAACUAUAUAAACACAAACACACUUCUGUUCUAAUAUUUAAUGCACUUUACACACGGACACGUAAAAUUUAAUGAACAUCAUGAUCCUGAAAUAUAUAAACUUCGUCAGUGAAAACUGCUCCAGUAUAUUUUCGAAUAAUAAAAAUAAAUGAAUUUUAACUGAAUUAACUGUUGCGACUAUUUCGACACUGACAGACUGCUUGACAGGAAAAUAAUACGAUUUUUCAAAUUAACAAUUUUAAUUUUACUUUUAUUUUAUUAAUUAAUUAACAAUUUUAAGAGAAACCAAAUAAGCAAGAACAGUUUUAGUAUUAAAACCAUUAAUCAUUUCUGUAAAAAGCAAGAACUUAAAUGAAAAAUUCCAGCAACUGGAAACUUGAGCCGUAACUUCUGGGUCCAUUAUUAUAAAGAAACCUUGACAAUUUUCAAGAGGAUGCACGUAAUGGCCGUUAUAUAUUGCCUUAAAAGAGUCCAGUUUCGAGUCGUGUAUCAUUGCGGACGUAGCUGAAGGCUGCUUUAUUUUAUUUCUCCUCUCAAAUUCUGGCGGGAAGGAUUCUCAAAACUGAACUUCGACAGUAUGUUUGUUUCGAGGUCUCCCUCGAGUCAGAGCGCGGUCAGAGUAGGGGGAUUCCCGCGGUCAACACUACAACCAGACUCGCGACGCCACCCCGAGGACUCCUGACCGCCGGUCAUCCCCGUACAUACGACGACGGGAAUGCGGACCGCAUAGUGGACCGCAGUCGAUGACGCGCCGUCCCGUCCUCCUGGUGCCAGUGUCCUACAGUGACGGCACCGUACGCAGCCUCGACCCCCUCAGGUCACCCCGUAGCCAUCACCGGGAGGAGACUGCCUCCUCACAGAGAUAAAUUACGUUUCCUGAAUUAA
Molecule: long non-coding RNA, 885 nt
Organism: Bombyx mori (domestic silkworm)
Lineage: Eukaryota; Metazoa; Arthropoda; Insecta; Lepidoptera; Bombycidae
Exons: 2
Source: RefSeq, a predicted model, not a curated record